GACGAACGCUGGCGGCGUGCUUAACACAUGCAAGUCGUACGGUAAGGCCCUUUCGGGGGUACACGAGUGGCGAACGGGUGAGUAACACGUGAGUAACCUGCCCACAACUUUGGGAUAACGCUAGGAAACUGGUGCUAAUACUGGAUAUGUGCUCCUGCUGCAUGGUGGGGGUUGGAAAGCUCCGGCGGCUGUGGAUGGACUCGCGGCCUAUCAGCUUGUUGGUGGGAUAGUGGCCUACCAAGGCGGCGACGGGUAGCCGGCCUGUGAGGGUGACCGGCGACAUUGGGACUGAGAGACGGCCCAGGCUCCUACGGGAGGAAGAAGUGGGGAAUAUUGCUCAAUGGGCGCAAGCCGGAUGCAGCAGCGCCGCGGGCGGGAUGACGGCCUUCGGGUUGAAAACCGCUUUCAGCAGGGACGAAGCUUUUUGUGACGGUACCUGCAGAAGAAGCACCGGCUAACUACGUG
This 465-nucleotide ribosomal RNA is filed under the name uncultured bacterium. RNAcentral's name for it is "partial 16S ribosomal RNA". It matches the Rfam family "Bacterial small subunit ribosomal RNA", at positions 28 to 507 of the family's 1533-position model. The record is from RNAcentral.